AUUCUUAUGGCAGAAAAAUGCGUUAGAUUUAGAAUCUACCCAUUUA
Molecule: transfer RNA, 46 nt
Filed under: Cyrtophora citricola
Lineage: Eukaryota; Metazoa; Arthropoda; Arachnida; Araneae; Araneidae
Description: tRNA-Leu
Source: RNAcentral